AAUAUUCCAGAUACCCCCCAUUAAGUUACAAAUGCUUUGCAUGAAUCACUUUACCUGUUUUCCCCACAAUGGGCAGUAUUUGUGCCAAAAAAAUCUUCCCUCUCCUCCAAGGUCCAAGAGUGUAACUGGAGGUGUAAGGGGUAACUUCCCUGAGUUGGAUGUCUGUUCACUAAAUAAACUGUACCAAAAAACAUGGAAAUUAGCUCUUGAAGAGAAUUGUCUGAGAAAUUAUUGCCCAUGUACAUUUCAUACUGAGUAGACUCUCUAGCUGCCAGCCUCUGUGAAUUCAGUCUAGAUAGCUCUUCCCCCCAUUGUUUUUUUUUCCUUUCGUUCACUGUUGUGAGAUCAGGAAGA
This is a long non-coding RNA of Empidonax traillii (willow flycatcher), 354 nucleotides long. RefSeq lists it as uncharacterized. NCBI's taxonomy places the organism in Eukaryota, Metazoa, Chordata, Aves, Passeriformes, Tyrannidae. The record is from RefSeq and is a predicted model, not a curated record. The transcript has 3 exons.